Molecule: ribosomal RNA, 111 nt
Filed under: Caerostris darwini
Lineage: Eukaryota; Metazoa; Arthropoda; Arachnida; Araneae; Araneidae
Source: RNAcentral
AACGGCCGUACCAUGCUGAAUAUACCGGUUCUCGUUAGAUCACCGAAGUUAAGCAUCAUUGGGCGCGGUCAGUACUUGGGUGGGUGACCACCUGGGAAUACCGCUUGCCGU